GUGAAGAGGCUGACAGCGGCGUGGCCACCACCCAGGAUGGAGAGAAAGGCACUGUGAGGUGUUAAUGGAAAAAUCCAACUUCCUUUUCUUCCAAAGAUGAUGACUGAAACCAAAGUGGAGCUUUCCCUUGUGAAGUGAAAGCAAAGUUUUAAAAUUUUUUCUCCUCUGCAAGAAAAUAUAUUUCAGAAAAUCUCUAUCUCAAAAAUGAAGCAAUUAAGAACUGUCUGGCUGUGAGGAUCUGGCCUCAACUUGACUUAAAGCAACAACUUCAGUUACAUAUCAAGAUGUGCGUGAGAAUGAACCUGCUCUGCUCAGCCAACGUGCUGAGUGACUUGAUGUUUGUAAUAAAUAAAUAAAUAAACAACAAACAGGUUGUCAUGAAAUAUCCUUUGUAAUUAUAAACACAGGAAACUUUCUGAGAUGCAAGUGGGUGUUAAAUGGUUCAGCAAAGCCAAGCCAGAGCAGUUGGUGUGCUUUGAAAUGAAGCAACAUUGGAAAAAUGAAAUCUACUGAAAGAUCACUACGUGUUUCAAAGGUUUGACUUUUUAAAAAUUUUCUUCAGUUUUCUAUUUUGAAAAAUACAAAGAGGUUUGCAUUUGUUUGUUUUUAUAUAAGCAGCAUGUGUAGGCAACCAUCUAAUAUUUGGCAACUUUAAAAAUUUUUGAGCAAAAGCAACUGUUUAGGAGUUUAACCAUUACUUAAAAAAAGAUACAUGAAAGUUAUUAUGUGUAUGUUCCUGCAUGGUACAUAGGAAAUUACUAAUUGCUAGUUAGUUCAAUUUACUUAAUUAGGUAUUUACUCAUUGGCUAUUAUGUGCCCAGUUUCGGGCUAUGUAAUAUUUUAAAAAUUAGCAUUAUAUAUGUUGCCCUAUCUACACUUUCUGGGGAGCAAAAUUUUGAAAAUCAUUUGAUGUGGAAACCCUUUAAAAAGAACUAGAUUGCAGCAUGUAUUCGAAUUCAAAAUUGAUUUUCAUCAAGUACUAAAAUGUGAUACAAGCCAAACAAUAGGAAUUUUCAGGAAUGAGAAUGGUUGUGCUGUCAAAAAAGAUAAACAAUAUGGAUGACUUAUGAAUAUUUAUGUCCUAUUAAAUUUAUUGAAUUUUGGAAGGCAGAGAUUGCUAAAGCGGAGAUAGUUGACAGCAGAGAAGAGCUACCAGUGAAUUCACGAAUUACAUUCUGGAUUAUUCUUUUUGAAAGAAUAUAUAUUUGGUGCAUUUGUCAUUAGUAAAGUUAAUUAAUCAG
Molecule: long non-coding RNA, 1241 nt
Organism: Homo sapiens (human)
Lineage: Eukaryota; Metazoa; Chordata; Mammalia; Primates; Hominidae
Product: long intergenic non-protein coding RNA 2997
Source: Ensembl